AGAAUAAAAUAGAAACACAUGGAUUUGCUGUUCUCCUAUUCAUUUCUACUAUCUGAUCCAAAAUUACUAAAAUGAUUCUUAAGCUACUAUUCUACAUUCUUCAGUAGUAUAGCACUGAGGGCUCAGGGCAUUGGUCAUCAGUGUUCAUAGGACAGGUGCAAACUGUAGAGGAACACAUUGCAGAGGGGUGUGUGAGUUUAAGUGAAAUUGUCAACUCCCCAUUAAUGUCAAUGUAGUCUACCAUUAAAGAUAACGGAUGGACGUUCUAUUCUGGAGUUUUUGGAACAUCUGCGGACAGUUGGAGGUCAUGGGAUGGAUGGCAAAGGAAGGACGCGCGCAAGGUAACUGAGCUGAGCAGGCUAUUAUUUUCCGGUCGAUGCGCACAGCCCGGACAGCCAUUGGUCAGCUCUGCCAGAAAAGGGGAGGUACUCGAGUCCAGAAAUCUUUGCAGAAAAUCUCCAGACUGAAGGACGGCAAAAAGGGUGACGGCGGACAAGGACGCUUUUAACAUGUUCUACAUCCAUACUUUACAGCCUGAUGUGUGUUUUUCUAAAUAGUUUUCUGGGGUUAUAGUGAACUUAAUCCGAAGAUGACGAAAUAUCGGGCUGCCAGUACUGCGAAAGCAGAGAGUUUAUUGGUCGUCCCAGACCAGCAUAACUUGUCGUUUUCACGCAGUUAACUUUUUACCUUUUCGUGGAUGCGGUAAGUAGUCUACACUGUGUCCAAAGUAAUCGAGGAUAGCUUUUGGAAGAGGCGCAACUUCGCCUAUUUCUCCUUUUCUUUCUCCACGGAGAAAAAAAAUAUUCCCGGCUGUUCCCUUGGGAUGUAAUUGCGUUCCCAGGCAAGUUCAAUGGCUCUGUAAGACUCAGAGAAUAGCAAGCCAUUCAUGGCUGGGACAAAAACCCACUUAUUUUAUUAUGUAGACAAGACUAUCAUUGUAUCUUUAGAAACAAAUUUAAAUCAAGUACAAUUACAUGUGGAUAAAUAUAUUGACUGUUAAACUCAAAAAUGGCACCAUUAUUCAGGAGUCAAUAGGGUGCUACAGUAGUUAUAGCAACAGUAGUUAAAGGGACUCUGCAAGACUGCAAACAUGAAGCAUCUGUACCCCCAAGUUAUAGACGGCUCUGCUACUACUUAUUUUAGUUAUACCUCCAAAUGUGUCUAUAUAACACUUGGCAUCGUAUAUUUUGGCAUGACAUGAUUUUUCACCUCUAAAGAUUGAUAGUUGUACUGUAAGUGUUAGUGGUUUUGUUUAAUGGGGUUGUAAAGGGAAGGUCUUUCUUUGUGAAAGAGCCUAUUUGUGUUGAUCUAAACUUUCCUUCUGUCUGAGGGGUCUCUGGCUCAGCUCAGCUCACAGGACCGUUCCCAUGGAGAUGAUAGGAUCACUUCCUGUCUCAGAACAGGCCAGGUCAUGGAGUUUAUGCUGGACCGGGAGUGAAGAAAUGGAAGCUUUUCCUUCAUUAAGACUCUAGAGGGCGUCCUGUCUCCAUGGUUUACUUCUUCUGAGGCAGUGUUGAAUAUGCAGUAGUAAUGCCUUCCCUUUCAAUUCACCACAAAAGGCCUUCUGCUCCUCCCCCUUCUUCUCAGAGCAGAGCAAGCAGGCCCAUUGCCCUAGCGAUUCCACACAGACACAGUGUGUACACAUGCUGCUCCAGAGCCAGUACUGUUCUUCCUUCCGACAAGUACGCCUCUCAACUUUGUUCAUUUACACAAUGUCCUUUGUUUACAUUUGCUUAUAAAUGUUCUAAACUCACCAAAAACUAUAUUUGGUAGCUCCUACCUAUAUAUGUAUAACUUUGUGUUGGAUUGCCUCUGCGCUCGUUAAACAUAUUUAGCUAGCAGCCUCAAUGGAAAUUCGCUAUUAUUUGUGCUAAUUUUGUUAGCAUUCUGGUAAUAGACACCGAAUGGGCUUUUUUUUGCGUUUUUUGGCCGGUAAUACCAUAAAACCUGGAAUGAGAAGACGGUAUGACAAUAUGAGAAAAUAUGGAUACUGCCCAACCAUAGUGGAAACCCUCGAUGGCGCUGCCAUUGCUAACAUGCUUUUGGCCACUAGAGGCCUCUAUCAUUCUCUGCUUGCAAAUCACACAUUGCAUCGGAAGUACCAUAGAAUUACUGCCAUAUAUAUAUGAUCCAGAAUGACUAUAGGCUUGAUUCCACAUUGAACACUGCUUCUCUUCCCUUGAUGACUCACUCUUGCAGGUCUUAAAAGACUGCAGAGGUGUUGGCAUGGUGAUAGUUCCAGCUAUUCAAAUAGGGUGAAGUUGAGAGUUUCUGUGUUAGUGUGUACUUUUAAUAACAGUAAAUAUGUGUCAUUUGUUUGAUCUAACAAAUGUUUUCUAUUGGUGCAAAUGUUCAAUGUAUUUUGAAUAUGAUGAAUAAAGGCUAUUCUUCACCACAA
Molecule: long non-coding RNA, 2398 nt
Organism: Oncorhynchus tshawytscha (Chinook salmon)
Lineage: Eukaryota; Metazoa; Chordata; Actinopteri; Salmoniformes; Salmonidae
Exons: 3
Source: RefSeq, a predicted model, not a curated record